UACGAGGGGGGCAAGCGUUGUUCGGAAUUAUUGGGCGUAAAGGGCGCGUAGGCGGUGCGGUAAGUCACCUGUGAAAACUCUGGGCUCAACUCAGAGCCUGCAGGCGAAACUGCCGUGCUUGAGUGUGGGAGAGGUGCGUGGAAUUCCCGGUGUAGCGGUGAACUGCGUAGAUAUCGGGAGGAACACCUGUGGCGAAAGCGGCGCACUGGACCACAACUGACGCUGAGGCGCGAAAGCUAGGGGAGCAAACAGG
RNAcentral lists this ribosomal RNA (253 nucleotides) under uncultured bacterium. RNAcentral describes it as "partial 16S ribosomal RNA". It matches the Rfam family "Bacterial small subunit ribosomal RNA", at positions 524 to 776 of the family's 1533-position model. The record is from RNAcentral.